This is a non-coding RNA of Pelobates cultripes (western spadefoot toad), 207 nucleotides long. The record is from the annotation of a GenBank genome assembly. NCBI's taxonomy places the organism in Eukaryota, Metazoa, Chordata, Amphibia, Anura, Pelobatidae.
CUCACUUCACAGACCCCAGUUUGGCCCAGCUAUACUCCUGCCUCCCCCCCCCCCUGGACCGGUGGGGGAUAUCCUGGUCCCCACUGGACACACUGGAGUUAACUACCUUAUCUACUCUGUACUUCACAUGGAAAUAAGCAACACAUAGCCCGCACUGGGUAAUCAAGAUGGCGACUGCCCUAUUGUCCGACCAACAGGGCAUACAAG